GGGGAUUUAGCUCAGUGGUAGAGCGUUUGCCUAGCAAGCGCAAGGCCCUGGGUAAAGUCCCCA
RNAcentral lists this transfer RNA (63 nucleotides) under Rattus norvegicus (Norway rat). It matches the Rfam family "tRNA". Rfam says of the family: Transfer RNA (tRNA) molecules are approximately 80 nucleotides in length. Lineage: Eukaryota; Metazoa; Chordata; Mammalia; Rodentia; Muridae. The record is from Rfam by way of RNAcentral.